Molecule: ribosomal RNA, 1968 nt
Filed under: Bacteroides stercoris
Lineage: Bacteria; Pseudomonadati; Bacteroidota; Bacteroidia; Bacteroidales; Bacteroidaceae
Description: partial 23S ribosomal RNA
Rfam family: Bacterial large subunit ribosomal RNA
Source: RNAcentral
GUUGUAUGGUUAAGUGACUAAGCGUACACGGUGGAUGCCUUGGCAGUCAGAGGCGAUGAAAGACGUAAUAACUUGCGAUAAGCCCAGAUUAGGUAGUAAUAACCUUUUGAGUCUGGGAUUCCUGAAUGGGGAAACCCACGUGCACAAGCACGUAUCCUGUUGUGAAUACAUAGCAACAGGAGGCAAACCGGGGGAACUGAAACAUCUAAGUACCCCGAGGAAGAGAAAUCAACCGAGAUUCCGAAAGUAGCGGCGAGCGAAAUUGGAUUAGCCCUUAAGCUUUUAAUGAUGCAGGUGAAGCCUCUGGAAAGUGGCGCAGUAAAGGGUGAUAGCCCCGUAACCGACACAUCAUCAUCAGUGAAAUCGAGUAAGGCGGGACACGUGAUAUCCUGUCUGAAUAUGGGGGGACCAUCCUCCAAGGCUAAAUACUACUGACUGACCGAUAGUGAACCAGUACCGUGAGGGAAAGGCGAAAAGAACCCCUGUGAGGGGAGUGAAAUAGAACCUGAAACCGUGUACGUACAAGCAGUAGGAGCACCUUCGUGGUGUGACUGCGUACCUUUUGUAUAAUGGGUCAGCGACUUAUAUUCAGUGGCAAGGUUAACCGUAUAGGGGAGCCGUAGGGAAACCGAGUCUUAACUGGGCGUUUAGUCUCUGGAUAUAGACCCGAAACCGAGUGAUCUAGCCAUGGGCAGGUUGAAGGUUGAGUAACAUCAACUGGAGGACCGAACCGACUAAUGUUGAAAAAUUAGCGGAUGACUUGUGGCUAGGGGUGAAAGGCCAAUCAAACCUGGAGAUAGCUGGUUCUCCCCGAAAGCUAUUUAGGUAGCGCCUCGGACGAAUACUACUGGGGGUAGAGCACUGUUAAGGCUAGGGGGUCAUCCCGACUUACCAACCCUUUGCAAACUCCGAAUACCAGUAAGUACUAUCCGGGAGACACACGGCGGGUGCUAACGUCCGUCGUGGAGAGGGAAACAACCCAGACCGCCAGCUAAGGUCCCAAAGUAUAGCUAAGUGGGAAACGAUGUGGGAAGGCUCAGACAGCCAGGAUGUUGGCUUAGAAGCAGCCAUCAUUUAAAGAAAGCGUAAUAGCUCACUGGUCGAGUCGGCCUGCGCGGAAGAUGUAACGGGGCUAAGCUAUACACCGAAGCUGCGGCUACGUACCUUAGGGUAUGUGGGGUAGGGGAGCGUUCUGUAAGCCGUUGAAGGUGGUCUGUAAGGGCUGCUGGAGGUAUCAGAAGUGCGAAUGCUGACAUGAGUAACGAUAAAGGGAGUGAAAAACUCCCUCGCCGGAAGACCAAGGGUUCCUGUCCAACGUUAAUCGGGGCAGGGUAAGUCGACUCCUAAGGCGAGGCCGAAAGGCGUAGUCGAUGGGAAACGGGUUAAUAUUCCCGUACUUCUUACAAUUGCGAUGGGGGGACGGAGAAGGCUAGGUGGGCCUGGCGACGGUUGUCCAGGUUCAAGUACGUAGGCGGAAAGUUUAGGUAAAUCCGGACUUUCAUAACGCUGAGAUACGAUGUCGAGCACCUACGGGUGUGAAGUCAUUGAUGCCAUGCUUCCAGGAAAAGCCUCUAAGCUUCAGAUUGUAAGGAAUCGUACCCCAAACCGACACAGGUGGUCGGGUAGAGAAUACCAAGGCGCUUGAGAGAACUCGGGUGAAGGAACUAGGCAAAAUGGUACCGUAACUUCGGGAGAAGGUACGCUCUUAUCAGUGAAGUCCCUUGCGGAUGGAGCAGACGAGAGUCGCAGAUACCAGGUGGCUGCAACUGUUUAUUAAAAACACAGCACUGUGCAAAAUCGUAAGAUGACGUAUACGGUGUGACGCCUGCCCGGUGCCGGAAGGUUAAUUGAUGGGGUUAGACUUCGGUCGAAGCUCUUGAUCGAAGCCCCGGUAAACGGCGGCCGUAACUAUAACGGUCCUAAGGUAGCGAAAUUCCUUGUCGGGUAAGUUCCGACCUGCACGAAUGG